This 492-nucleotide ribosomal RNA is filed under the name uncultured bacterium. Its description in RNAcentral is "partial 16S ribosomal RNA". It matches the Rfam family "Bacterial small subunit ribosomal RNA", at positions 29 to 507 of the family's 1533-position model. The record is from RNAcentral.
AGUGAACGCUGGCGGUAGGCCUAACACAUGCAAGUCGAACGGCAGCACAGUAAGAGCUUGCUCUUACGGGUGGCGAGUGGCGGAUGGGUGAGGAAUACAUCGGAAUCUACUUUUUCGUGGGGGAUAACGUAGGGAAACUUACGCUAAUACCGCAUACGACGUACGGGUGAAAGCAGGGGAUCUUCGGACUUUGCGCGAUUGAAUGAGCCGAUGUCGGAUUAGCUAGUUGGCGGGGUAAAGGCCCACCAAGGCGACGAUACGUAGCUGGUCUGAGAGGAUGAUCAGCCACACUGGAACUGAGACACGGUCCAGACUCCUACGGGAGGCAGCAGUAGGGAAUAUUGGACAAUGGGCGCAAGCCUGAUCCAGCCAUGCCGCGUGAGUGAAGAAGGCCUUCGGGUUGUAAAGCCCUUUUGUUGGGGAAGAAAAGCUGUGGGUUAAUACCCCGCUGUUCUGACGGUACCCAAAGAAUAAGCACCGGCUAACUUCGUG